This 264-nucleotide ribosomal RNA is filed under the name uncultured Bacillus sp. RNAcentral describes it as "partial 16S ribosomal RNA". It matches the Rfam family "Bacterial small subunit ribosomal RNA", at positions 1031 to 1296 of the family's 1533-position model. The record is from RNAcentral. Lineage: Bacteria; Bacillati; Bacillota; Bacilli; Caryophanales; Bacillaceae.
GUGACAGGUGGUGCAUGGUUGUCGUCAGCUCGUGUCGUGAGAUGUUGGGUUAAGUCCCGCAACGAGCGCAACCCUUGAUCUUAGUUGCCAUCAUUCAGUUGGGCACUCUAAGGUGACUGCCGGUGACAAACCGGAGGAAGGUGGGGAUGACGUCAAAUCAUCAUGCCCCUUAUGACCUGGGCUACACACGUGCUACAAUGGACAGAACAAAGGGUUGCAAGCCCGCAAGGGGGAGCCAAUCCCAUAAAUUUGUUCUCAGUUCGG